Molecule: transfer RNA, 27 nt
Filed under: Glia prolifera
Lineage: Eukaryota; Viridiplantae; Streptophyta; Magnoliopsida; Apiales; Apiaceae
Description: partial tRNA-Phe
Source: RNAcentral
GGAAUGGGAAUGGUCGGGAUAGCUCAG